This is a long non-coding RNA of Sphaeramia orbicularis (orbiculate cardinalfish), 187 nucleotides long. RefSeq lists it as uncharacterized. The record is from RefSeq and is a predicted model, not a curated record. NCBI's taxonomy places the organism in Eukaryota, Metazoa, Chordata, Actinopteri, Kurtiformes, Apogonidae. The transcript has 3 exons.
UUCCUCAAGGCUCAGUUCUUGGACCAAUACUGUUUAUCUUAUACAUGCUUCCUUUAGGUAACAUAAUAAGGAAACACUCCCUCAACUUUCAUUGUUACGUUGAUGAUACCCAAUUCAUUUAUCUAUUAAACCUGUUGAAGCCAGUCAGCUAACUAAACUACAGGAACAAAACUGAACUACAAUUAAC